AGUGAACGCUGGCGGUAGGCCUAACACAUGCAAGUCGAACGGCAGCACAGUAAGAGCUUGCUCUUACGGGUGGCGAGUGGCGGACGGGUGAGGAAUACAUCGGAAUCUACUUUUUCGUGGGGGAUAACGUAGGGAAACUUACGCUAAUACCGCAUACGACCUACGGGUGAAAGCAGUGGUUCUUCGGACCUUGCGCGAUUGAAUUAGCCGAUGUCGGAUUAGCUAGUUGGCAGGGUAAAGGCCCACCAAGGCGACGAUCCGUAGCGGGUCUGAGAGGAUGAUCAGCCACACUGGAACUGAGACACGGUCCAGACUCCUACGGGAGGCAGCAGUGGGGAAUAUUGGACAAUGGGCGCAAGCCUGAUCCAGCCACACCGCGUGGGUGAAGAAGGCCUUCGGGUUGUAAAGCCCUUUUGUUGGGAAAGAAAAGCAGCAGGUUAAUACCCCGCUGUUCUGACGGUACCCAAAGAAUAAGCACCGGCUAACUUCGUG
This 492-nucleotide ribosomal RNA is filed under the name uncultured bacterium. RNAcentral describes it as "partial 16S ribosomal RNA". It matches the Rfam family "Bacterial small subunit ribosomal RNA", at positions 29 to 507 of the family's 1533-position model. The record is from RNAcentral.